This is a transfer RNA of Aspergillus ruber CBS 135680, 126 nucleotides long. It matches the Rfam family "tRNA". From Rfam's summary of the family: Transfer RNA (tRNA) molecules are approximately 80 nucleotides in length. NCBI's taxonomy places the organism in Eukaryota, Fungi, Ascomycota, Eurotiomycetes, Eurotiales, Aspergillaceae. The record is from Rfam.
GCUCCCGUGGCGCAAUGGUAGCGCGCAAGACUUCUACAUGAGUCUUCUGGCUCUUUUCUGGCUGAUAAAUUAGUCUGAAAAUAUAUGUAAAUCUUGAGGCUGCGGGUUCGAGCCCCGCCGGGAGCU